GAUGAACGCUGGCGGCGUGCCUAACACAUGCAAGUCGAACGGAGUCCAGCCUUUAAGACCUUCGGGUCAAAGAGGGGAAGACUGAGUGGCGGACGGGUGAGUAACACGUGGGCAACCUGGCUCAUAGAGGGGGAUAACAGAGAGAAAUUUCUGCUAAUACCGCAUAAGCACACACUGCCGCAUGGCAGAGGGUGAAAAGAGAAUCGCUAUGAGAUGGACCCGCGUCUGAUUAGCCAGUUGGCAGGGUAAGAGCCUACCAAAGCGACGAUCAGUAGCCGAUCUGAGAGGAUGAACGGCCACAUUGGGACUGAGACACGGCCCAAACUCCUACGGGAGGCAGCAGUGGGGGAUAUUGCACAAUGGAGGGAACCCUGAUGCAGCGACGCCGCGUGAGUGAAGAAGUAUUUCGGUAUGUAAAGCUCUAUCAGCAGGGAAGAUAAUGACAGUACCUGAAUAAGAAGCCCCGGCUAACUACGUG
Molecule: ribosomal RNA, 478 nt
Filed under: uncultured bacterium
Lineage: Bacteria
Description: partial 16S ribosomal RNA
Rfam family: Bacterial small subunit ribosomal RNA
Source: RNAcentral